RNAcentral lists this ribosomal RNA (495 nucleotides) under uncultured bacterium. RNAcentral describes it as "partial 16S ribosomal RNA". It matches the Rfam family "Bacterial small subunit ribosomal RNA", at positions 28 to 507 of the family's 1533-position model. The record is from RNAcentral.
GACGAACGCUGGCGGCGUGCCUAAUACAUGCAAGUAGAACGCUGAAGGAGGAGCUUGCUUCUCUGGAUGAGUUGCGAACGGGUGAGUAACGCGUAGGUAACCUGCCUGGUAGCGGGGGAUAACUAUUGGAAACGAUAGCUAAUACCGCAUAAUAUUGACUAUUGCAUGAUAGUCAGUUGAAAGGUGCAACUGCACCACUACCAGAUGGACCUGCGUUGUAUUAGCUAGUUGGUGGGGUAACGGCUCACCAAGGCGACGAUACAUAGCCGACCGGAGAGGGUGAUCGGCCACACUGGGACUGAGACACGGCCCAGACUCCUACGGGAGGCAGCAGUAGGGAAUCUUCGGCAAUGGACGGAAGUCUGACCGAGCAACGCCGCGUGAGUGAAGAAGGUUUUCGGAUCGUAAAGCUCUGUUGUAAGAGAAGAACGAGUGUGAGAGUGGAAAGCUCACACUGUGACGGUAUCUUACCAGAAAGGGACGGCUAACUACGUG